AAAGAUUAAACCAAGCAUGUCUAAGUAUAAGCAAUCUAUACGGUGAAACUGCGAAUGGCUCAUUAAAUCAGUUAUCGUUUAUUUGAUAGUACCUAACCUACUUGGAUAACCGUGGUAAUUCUAGAGCUAAUACAUGCUAAAAACCUCGACUUCGGAAGGGGUGUAUUUAUUAGAUAAAAAACCAAUGCCCUUCGGGGCUCCUUGGUGAUUCAUAAUAACUCAACGAAUCGCAUGGCCUUGCGCCGGCGAUGGUUCAUUCAAAUUUCUGCCCUAUCAACUUUCGAUGGUAGGAUAGUGGCCUACCAUGGUGUUAACGGGUAACGGGGAAUUAGGGUUCUAUUCCGGAGAGGGAGCCUGAGAAACGGCUACCACAUCCAAGGAAGGCAGCAGGCGCGCAAAUUACCCAAUCCCGACACGGGGAGGUAGUGACAAUAAAUACCGACACCGGGCCCUUUCGGGUCUUGUAAUUGGAACGAGUACAAUUGUAUCCAUAACCAGGUACCCUUUGU
Molecule: ribosomal RNA, 509 nt
Filed under: uncultured Leptodontidium
Lineage: Eukaryota; Fungi; Ascomycota
Description: SSU rRNA
Rfam family: Eukaryotic small subunit ribosomal RNA
Source: RNAcentral